UGGUAGCCUGGCCAUUAACAAAAACCACC
RNAcentral lists this non-coding RNA (29 nucleotides) under Mus musculus (house mouse). Lineage: Eukaryota; Metazoa; Chordata; Mammalia; Rodentia; Muridae. The record is from RNAcentral.